AUGACGUAAUAAUUAGUUGCACAAAAAUCUUUUUAUUUUUUUAGUAAUUAAUUUCGAUCUAAGUUUAGGCUGUUAUCUAGAAUUUAAAUAUUGAUCAAAAAUAAAUUAUGAUAAAUGAAGCAGCAAAAUUGAAUAUUUAUGAUUUAUGAUAAGAAAUUACUUCAUCACUCUUAUUUUUCAUUAAAUAUACAGACGGUAGCUGAACGGUGAAAUUUACCCAAUCUGCAGCACACAAAUUUCGAUAUAUGUAUUUCUCACUGUUGAUUUACGGUGUACACGCACUCUAGUGUGUUAUGUUAGAUGUAGCCAAAGGUCGAGCAAACAAUAACAAUAAUAACAACGAGCUCAAUCAUCUCUCCUCACUUAAAGAAACCAGCAUUUCUGUCCUAUAAUGGAAGGUCAUAGAUCAAGUUAUGCUCGAAAUGACGUGAGAUCGUAUGGACUGAAUUAUAUUCGAAAUAAUGUGAUUUUGAUUAGAUUGAAUCGCAAUCAAUAUAUGUAAAUAUUAUAUCUAUAUGCUUUAAAUAAAUUAAUUA
RNAcentral lists this long non-coding RNA (536 nucleotides) under Ananas comosus (pineapple). Its description in RNAcentral is "long non-coding RNA (ACOM_LNC021671)". Lineage: Eukaryota; Viridiplantae; Streptophyta; Magnoliopsida; Poales; Bromeliaceae. The record is from RNAcentral.